UACAUUAUGAGGAGUUAGUGGCACA
This 25-nucleotide non-coding RNA is filed under the name Mus musculus (house mouse). The record is from RNAcentral. Lineage: Eukaryota; Metazoa; Chordata; Mammalia; Rodentia; Muridae.